CCUACGGGUGGCAGCAGUGAGGAAUAUUGGUCAAUGGACGAGAGUCUGAACCAGCCAAGUAGCGUGAAGGAUGACUGCCCUAUGGGUUGUAAACUUCUUUUAUAUGGGAAUAAAACGUUCCACGUGUGGGAUUUUGUAGGUACCGUAUGAUUAAGGAUAGGCUAACUCCGUGCUAGCAGCCGCGGUAAUACGGAGGAUCCGUGCGUUAUCCGGUUAUGUUGGGUUUAAAGGGAUCGGAGGUGGAUUGUUAAGUUAGUUGUGAAAAUUUGGGGGUUAACCGUAAGAUCGCAGUUGAUACUGGCAGUCUUGAGUAAAGUAGAGGUGGGCGGAAUUCGUGGUGUAGCGGUGAAAUGCUUAGAUAUAACGAAGAACUCCGAGGGCGAAGGCAGUUCACUGGAUUUCAACUGACACUGAGGCUCGAAAGUGUGGGUAGCAAACAGGAUUAGAUACCCUUGUAGUC
Molecule: ribosomal RNA, 460 nt
Filed under: uncultured bacterium
Lineage: Bacteria
Description: partial 16S ribosomal RNA
Rfam family: Bacterial small subunit ribosomal RNA
Source: RNAcentral